UGAUGCUUGUCUCUUGAAGAUGCUGCUGCCUCCAGAAUUGUGGCUUUUGCAUGUAAAACCUCAGGAAAAUCAACUUCAAAAACGCUGCUUUCUUUCAAACAGCUUAGGCGAUGUGAUCUUGCAUCCAUACCUGCAGGAACGUCUCGCCAGCAAACAGCUCAGCCAGCGGGUCAUGGAUCACCUGCUUCCACAAUGCCCGCCCAGCCGCUGUCUGGCACGCUGACCGCCUCAGGAAAUCCCAGUCGCUCUUGAUGGUUGCAUGAAGGCCUGCCAGAGGGUCGUUGCUCAGCAGCUCGGACAACCUCAGUUCCGGCCAAGUUUCAUCCUUUAGAAACACACUUGCGUUGUCAUCAUUCGACAUGUUGUGCUGCUGCGAAUGCUGAACCGUACCAUAUGCGCCACGGAAGUUAAAUGAAUGAAGGGAGGUUCUGAGGAGAGAGUGGAGUCAAGAUAUAGUCAUGAGGAUAAGGAAAGAGAGCCACACACACAAUCAACAUGAAAGGUUCUAAGAUAUCCAGCCUCAUUUUGUGUCUAGGGAAAGAGAAAGGUGAUGAAGAGUCCACGAUCACCUUCAUCCAUUUGCAUAAAAAAGUGGCUGACAAAGGCUCCCACCUUCAAAAUGUGGUUCCCACUUCAAUACUAUUUGUUGAAGAUGAUGUUUUGUUACGUACUUUAUCCUCAGAUAUUCACAUAUAUAUGGGCAUGUAAAGUAAUCAUAAUUCUUAAAAAAAUAAAAGCUAGGUAACUUUUUCAGGA
This is a long non-coding RNA of Salvia hispanica, 756 nucleotides long. RefSeq lists it as uncharacterized. NCBI's taxonomy places the organism in Eukaryota, Viridiplantae, Streptophyta, Magnoliopsida, Lamiales, Lamiaceae. The record is from RefSeq and is a predicted model, not a curated record.